This 492-nucleotide ribosomal RNA is filed under the name uncultured bacterium. Its description in RNAcentral is "partial 16S ribosomal RNA". It matches the Rfam family "Bacterial small subunit ribosomal RNA", at positions 29 to 507 of the family's 1533-position model. The record is from RNAcentral.
AGUGAACGCUGGCGGUAGGCCUAACACAUGCAAGUCGAACGGCAGCACAGUAAGAGCUUGCUCUUACGGGUGGCGAGUGGCGGACGGGUGAGGAAUACAUCGGAAUCUACUUUUUCGUGGGGGAUAACGUAGGGAAACUUACGCUAAUACCGCAUACGACCUACGGGUGAAAGCAGUGGAUCUUCGGACCUUGCGCGAUUGAAUGAGCCGAUGUCGGAUUAGCUAGUUGGCGGGGUAAAGGCCCACCAAGGCGACGAUCCGUAGCUGGUCUGAGAGGAUGAUCAGCCACACUGGAACUGAGACACGGUCCAGACUCCUACGGGAGGCAGCAGUAGGGAAUAUUGGACAAUGGGCGCAAGCCUGAUCCAGCCAUACGGCGUGGGUGAAGAAGGCCUUCGGGUUGUAAAGCCCUUUUGUUGGGAAAGAAAAGCAGCAGGUUAAUACCCCGCUGUUCUGACGGUACCCAAAGAAUAAGCACCGGCUAACUUCGUG